Molecule: ribosomal RNA, 254 nt
Filed under: uncultured bacterium
Lineage: Bacteria
Description: partial 16S ribosomal RNA
Rfam family: Bacterial small subunit ribosomal RNA
Source: RNAcentral
UACGAAGGGGGCUAGCGUUGUUCGGAAUUACUGGGCGUAAAGCGUAUGCAGGCGGAUCGUUAAGUCGGGGGUGAAAUCCCGAGGCUCAACCUCGGAACUGCCUUCGAUACUGGCGACCUUCGAGUCCGGGAGAGGUGAGUGGAACUCCGAGUGUAGAGGUGAAAUUCGUAGAUAUUCGGAAGAACACCAGUGGCGAAGGCGGCUCACUGGUCCGGUACUGACGCUGAGGUGCGAAAGCGUGGGGAGCAAACAGG